This 252-nucleotide ribosomal RNA is filed under the name uncultured bacterium. RNAcentral describes it as "partial 16S ribosomal RNA". It matches the Rfam family "Bacterial small subunit ribosomal RNA", at positions 524 to 776 of the family's 1533-position model. The record is from RNAcentral.
UACGGAGGAUGCGAGCGUUAUCCGGAUUUAUUGGGUUUAAAGGGUGCGUAGGCGGAGCGCCAAGUCAGCGGUAAAAAUUCGGGGCUCAACCCCGUCGUGCCGUUGAAACUGGCGCCCUUGAGUGGGCGAGAAGUAUGCGGAAUGCGUGGUGUAGCGGUGAAAUGCAUAGAUAUCACGCAGAACCCCGAUUGCGAAGGCAGCAUACCGGCGCCCGACUGACGCUGAAGCACGAAAGCGUGGGUAUCGAACAGG